AGCAGCUUAUUCACAAUUGCCGAUGCUGA
This 29-nucleotide non-coding RNA is filed under the name Homo sapiens (human). The record is from RNAcentral. Lineage: Eukaryota; Metazoa; Chordata; Mammalia; Primates; Hominidae.